Molecule: unclassified non-coding RNA, 117 nt
Organism: Callithrix jacchus (white-tufted-ear marmoset)
Lineage: Eukaryota; Metazoa; Chordata; Mammalia; Primates; Cebidae
Rfam family: Metazoan signal recognition particle RNA
About the family: The signal recognition particle (SRP) is a universally conserved ribonucleoprotein. It is involved in the co-translational targeting of proteins to membranes.
Source: Ensembl
GCCAGGCAUGGUGGCUCAUGCCUGUAAUCCCAGUGCUUUUGGAGGCUGAGACAGGAGGAUCACUUGAGCCCAGGAGUUCAAGACCAGCCUGGGCAACAUAGCAAGAUCCUGUCUCUA